This is a long non-coding RNA of Vitis vinifera (wine grape), 440 nucleotides long. RefSeq lists it as uncharacterized. NCBI's taxonomy places the organism in Eukaryota, Viridiplantae, Streptophyta, Magnoliopsida, Vitales, Vitaceae. The transcript has 2 exons. The record is from RefSeq and is a predicted model, not a curated record.
CUUCAAUAAUAUGAUCUGCAGCAUCAUGAUCUUCACAUGCCACAGUGUUUAGUUAUUACAUUGCUCAUUCUCUUGUUGAGAUUUCACAGGAUAAUUUAGACUUGAGACGUGGUCUCUCUACUGCUGAGUAAUGGCUGCUGCUGCUGCUUCUUUUUCUCAAAGGCGCUAUGAUGUGUUCCUGAGCUUCAGAGGAGAAGACACCCGCAAUAACUUCACUGCUCACCUCGACAAGGAGUUACGAGCCCAAGGAAUCGACAGUUUCAUCAUUGAAGAGAAGCUUGAGAGGGGCAAAGCCAUAUCUUCUACACUUGUUGCAGCUAUUGAAAACUCCAAGUUUUCUAUCAUUGUUUUAUUUCACUUUUAUAUAGAAUAUGUUAAUCCUAAGUUAACAUGUAGGAUAUACUUAUCUCAUAUAUCAUAAAUUUUAUCAAUUUUUUUUU